Non-coding RNA from Vicia faba (fava bean), 298 nucleotides. The record is from the annotation of a GenBank genome assembly. NCBI's taxonomy places the organism in Eukaryota, Viridiplantae, Streptophyta, Magnoliopsida, Fabales, Fabaceae.
UCUUGUCAAAUUUCAUUCAUGGCUAUAUUUAUCAUAUUCCAUCAAUGUUCAUUCGAUUACAAGCAUGAGAAUUCAUCAAGAUUCAUUUUCGAGUUCCAAGUAUCUUCGCACUAUUUCAUUCUUUGGAAUCAUCAUUCGUUACAAAAUUACAAGGUUGGCACAAAAUCUAUCAUGUGAGAAGAUUACAAUCAAGACAUAUACGGUGGCCCUGUUACAUUUUGAUCUAGAACCUCAAAGAUUCGAUGGUGUUCAUGAUACACUUAUGAUCAAGUAUUAUUCCAAAGAGGCCCUUAAUUGA